AAAGUGNCGGUACNUGCAGAAGAAGCGCCGGCUAACUACGUGCCAGCAGCCGCGGUAAUANGUAGGGCGCAANCGUUGUCCGGAAUUAUUGGGNGUAAAGAGCUCGUAGNCGGCUUGUCACGUCGAUUGUGAAAGCCCNAGGCUUAACCUCGGGUCUGCAGUCNAUACGGGCUAGCUAGAGUGUGGUAGGGGAGAUCAGGAAUUCCUGGUGUAGCGGUGAAAUGCGCACCAUAUCAGAAGUUUCNCCGGUG
RNAcentral lists this ribosomal RNA (251 nucleotides) under Streptomyces sp. 01-T5. RNAcentral's name for it is "partial 16S ribosomal RNA". It matches the Rfam family "Bacterial small subunit ribosomal RNA", at positions 466 to 714 of the family's 1533-position model. Lineage: Bacteria; Bacillati; Actinomycetota; Actinomycetes; Kitasatosporales; Streptomycetaceae. The record is from RNAcentral.